Molecule: long non-coding RNA, 1686 nt
Organism: Passer domesticus (house sparrow)
Lineage: Eukaryota; Metazoa; Chordata; Aves; Passeriformes; Passeridae
Exons: 3
Source: RefSeq, a predicted model, not a curated record
CCAGGCAGAGCAGUUUCCCCUGACUGCUCAUACAGCCAUCAAACCUGGCCUUUUUCAGGAUCUGAAAAACAUGGCUCAGCUGUACAUUAUCCUGGCAGUCACAACCUCUUAGCUCUGCCACAAAGAAAACAGAGACCCCCACUGCAGCAAAGGAUGGGCAAGAAGCAGAGGAACUUUCCCAGCUUUAUUAAUUACAACUGAAAAAAGGAUUUAAAGCCUAAUACUGAAGAGGCAGUGACUAUUUAUAAGGCAGCCUGGUCAGAACUGUAACAGCUAUUUCUGUAUAAGGAACCACGAUAUGGCAAAGAAACAAGCAACAACGCCAGCACUGAACAAGCAGGCAGAACACAUUCUACUGAAAAAAAGAAUCCUGAAAACUAUGGUUAAAGCAAGAAAUAUUUCCAAAGCUGGAUCUGCACAGAAUAGAUGCAUGGAGGUAUUUCUGAGUCUCCGAAGAGCUGUCCUGGAAUAACCUCUCGUGCAGACACCAUGGCUUCUUCUACACUGUGUAGGAAAAGCAGGCGUGCAGUCAGAUUCACAAGCUGUCACAGGCACACAAACCUCAGUCUGCUCUCAAUUUUUAAAAUAUUUCUUCAUGUACCAAGGCAGUUUCCAGCUAGUUCAAAACUCCAUUCUCCUUCAUCCUUAAUUCCAGUGUUAAAUUUUUAUCAUCAAACUAAUUCACCUACUCUCCCACGUACCUCUCCCAGCUGUAUCCCAACUCCACUCCAGGAUGUUUUCCAGACUUUGAUUGUUUCUUUUCAGUUUCUGUUGUUUCUCAGGUGACAACAGUUUUAUUCUUGACUAACUGUUAUUACAGCCAGAAUCUGAAAGGCAACCAGGUUCAGGUUUACAAAGGCAAGAUUUGGGGCAGCACUGUAGUCAGUCCCUAGCUUCAAGCCACUCCUGGAGCAGCCAUCUCAGUACAGUAGAGAUGGUGUAAAACAACCUUUGAUUUUUUUUUAAUUUAUCCAAAUGAGAAGGACCCCACUAUCUUAAUGCAUAUUAAGAAAUUGCAAACAUACACAACAGACCCUGCAGAAAUUAUGAUCUCAUAAUGUAAAGAAUCAUCACUGGGUAGCCCAAAAUCAAAAUGACUCAUGGAAAUCUAUAAAAACUGCAGAGAAUAGUUCUUAGAUAAUUUAAUAACUCUUUGUACCAAACUGAAGUAAAACAUAGGAUAAAAUGAUGUGAUCAUCAAAGGUUCCAGCAAAGGAGCAGCAUCUCAGAGCAUUGCUCACUUUUGUUUAACUAGGUCACUAAAAGCAGUUCUUGUAAAUAAGUUGGAGGUUUCUCCUUUCUUCUGAGCCAAUGAAUCCAUUAGGAGCUAACAAUUUGGGCAGGACUCUGUAGUUCUCCUGAAGAUAUUUUCUGAGGCCUGAAGAUACAUGAGCUUGAAAGAGGCAGGCAGGUCUAACAAGGGUUGUGUGGGUAGGUGCCACCAAGAAAUCCUCUCAGUUUUGGGUUUCUAGAAGCUGUGGCUGCAAGAAACGAAAGCAAAUAGUGCUGCUGUUUCUUUUGACACAGCUAUUAUUUUGCAUCAACUUUCCAACAGCACCUGUGUAUCUCCCUAGCAUGGUAGAAAGAUAUACCUUGAUCUAUCAUCUACAGAAAGCAGAAAAUUUCACAAAUAAAUCCCAAAAAAAAAAAAAAAAAAAAAAAAAAAAAAAAAAAAAAAAGACAAAA